Molecule: transfer RNA, 76 nt
Filed under: Clostridiales bacterium
Lineage: Bacteria; Bacillati; Bacillota; Clostridia; Eubacteriales
Also listed under: 1 other name
Description: tRNA-Val
Rfam family: tRNA
About the family: Transfer RNA (tRNA) molecules are approximately 80 nucleotides in length.
Source: RNAcentral
GGGGGUAUAGCUCAGCUGGUAGAGCACUUGCCUUACAAGCAAGGGGUCACAGGUUCGAGUCCUGUUGUCCCCACCA